CACCAUGAUCGUGAGGCUUCCCCAGCCACAUGACACUGCCUUUCUACCUAAUGGUCUUGGAGAUUGAGGUCACGGAACCUGAAAGCUGCCUUGAUCUGCUGAGGACUAUGGUGAGCAACCCACUGCUAUCUUUGUCCUCACUUGGUUCAGUAUUCCUGGAAUAUGUAACUGCAUGACAGGAUGAAGAUCAACAACUAAAUACUAUUUAGCAUUGAUGGUUCAGGACCGUGGACAGCACUCAUGUUGGGAAUGGGGCUUGCUGAAAUUGCAGUGACUUUGUAAGUUUGGUCUGUCACAGAAUAAAUUUGUUGGCGUGGCUACAAAUGGAUAAGGUGCUCACCAGAAUAUUAAAACUCAUGGCUGAAUUAAUUUUUUUCUUCCCUUCAUGGAGGGGAGGAAAAAAAAACAUUAACGCAAAGAAAGGCUGGCACAUAAUAGCACUCAAAUACCUUAACUGAAAUGAACUUUUCACCUUAAUGAUAAAGAGUGGCUCAACAUGUAGGUGUAUUUGAUGGCUCUUUUAAAGUGAUCAUUCCAAAUCAAUAACUGAAAAGGAAAUUUGUGUAUUUUUUUUUUACUGUGCUGUCCAUGGUGUCAAUGAAAAUAAAGUUGUUAAAAGUUGAACUAAAAAAUGAGAACUGAGUUGAGAUUCAGUCACUAACACAGGAUAAUGCAAAUUCGUUUUAGAUGUAAAAUUAAAAACAUCAUUAUUUUUAUGACAAAAUUUUAAAAUCCUUUCAUGACUUUGUCCAACAAUUUAAAUGACCCCAUCAUCCAUCCUCUGACACAAGUAACUUAAGUGAAAGGUUACUUGAAACUUCACCAAUGGAAGCCUGAAAAUUUAACGAUAUACCUUUCUGGCAGCAUUCUUUCAUCUUUGUCACCUUGAUACAGUUCCUAAACAGAAAACAAACUAAUGCUACUCAAAUCUACAUGUUUACAUAAACUCACAUUUCAUGUGUCAUCUGUUCUGAAGAGUCUUUUUCUAAAAUUAGUCCCUACAGGUCUUGAAGUGUGUGACUCUCAUUUUGACACACAAUCAUACAAUGGCUCCAACUUUUGCUGCCUGACUCAUAUGUCCUCUGAAAGACAAACAUUGAGAGCUAUUUGAAGUAGUUCACUUACUUUUCUGUUACACUUCAUUACACCUAAAAGGGCUGCCACACAAAUAUUGAACACUUACAAAUCAUCGUUUUUCUGGAAUACAAGAGUGUAUCUCUUUGCUUCUUGGCACAUGUAUCUCUGGAGUAUGACAGUACAAUCAGUGAACUCAUCCUUUAAAUUGAUGAGAUGUUAUUAUCAUUCCUCUUAGUUUUACCUCAACUGGGAAAUGUUCACAUAACCAUUUAGAUGUGUUGCCUUAGAUCAGCAUUUAUCCAACUUUUUCCCCAAGGCAUCCACCUCUGCUGGCAAAAGUGCAGGAAGCAGGAUCUAGGAACAUUAUUCCAAGUUGUAGAUGGCAAAUAGAACAUUUCUUUGAACUCUCAUGCUUUACUUUAAAAUACAUUAGAAUUAAUUUUGUACUCUAUUCUACAAUUCAUUCAUUCAACAAAUAUUAGGGGCCUACUGCACGCCAGGCAUUAUUACAGGGAUACAGUAGUGAAUAAAUAUAUUUGUGUUUGUUUUUAACCUAGUAAUAUUUUAAUACAACUGGCACAAAUAGAAAAACAAAAACUUUGCCAAGCAAAGAGCAAAACUGAUAAUCCAAGAUGGAACAAUUAUUGCUUCAAAUACUACUAGUCAUGUUAUUGCAACCUGAGAG
Cercocebus atys (sooty mangabey) is the source of this 1762-nucleotide long non-coding RNA. RefSeq lists it as uncharacterized. The transcript is spliced from 3 exons. The record is from RefSeq and is a predicted model, not a curated record. Lineage: Eukaryota; Metazoa; Chordata; Mammalia; Primates; Cercopithecidae.